RNAcentral lists this ribosomal RNA (206 nucleotides) under uncultured bacterium. RNAcentral describes it as "partial 16S ribosomal RNA". It matches the Rfam family "Bacterial small subunit ribosomal RNA", at positions 28 to 225 of the family's 1533-position model. The record is from RNAcentral.
GACGAACGCUGGCGGCGUGCUUAACACAUGCAAGUCGAGCGGUAAGGCCCUUUCGGGGGUACGACGAGCGGCGAACGGGUGGAGUAACACGUGGGUGGACCUCGCCCUCCAGCUCUGGGAGUAAGACCUGGGAAACCGGGGUACGUAAUACCGGAUAUGACUCCAUGACGCAUGUUGUGGGGUGGAAAGCCUUGUGCGGCUGAGGA